RNAcentral lists this ribosomal RNA (882 nucleotides) under Hypomyces sp. KP-2022a. Its description in RNAcentral is "partial large subunit ribosomal RNA". It matches the Rfam family "Eukaryotic large subunit ribosomal RNA", at positions 46 to 959 of the family's 3401-position model. The record is from RNAcentral. Lineage: Eukaryota; Fungi; Ascomycota; Sordariomycetes; Hypocreales; Hypocreaceae.
CAUAGCGAGGAAAGAAACCAACAGGGAUGGCCCCAGUACCGGCGAGUGAAGCGGCAACAGCUCAAAUUUGAAAUCUGGUCCUCACGGGCCCGAGUUGUAAUUUGUAGAGGAUGCUUUUGGUGAGGCACCGCCCGAGUUCCCUGGAACGGGACGCCGCAGAGGGUGAGAGCCCCGUCUGGCUGGCUGCCGAGCCUUUGUAAAGCUCCUUCGACGAGUCGAGUAGUUUGGGAAUGCUGCUCAAAAUGGGAGGUAUAUGUCUUCUAAAGCUAAAUACCGGCCAGAGACCGAUAGCGCACAAGUAGAGUGAUCGAAAGAUGAAAAGCACUUUGAAAAGAGGGUUAAAUAGUACGUGAAAUUGUUGAAAGGGAAGCGCUCAUGACCAGACUUGGGCUUGGCGAAUCAUCCAGCGUUCUCGCUGGUGCACUUCGCCUCGUCCAGGCCAGCAUCAGUUCGCUUCGGGGGAUAAAGGCUUUGGGAACGUGGCUCCUCCGGGAGUGUUAUAGCCCAUUGUGUAAUACCCUGAGGUGGACUGAGGUUCGCGCAUCUGCAAGGAUGCUGGCGUAAUGGUCAUCAGCGACCCGUCUUGAAACACGGACCAAGGAGUCGUCUUCGUAUGCGAGUGUUCGGGUGUAAAACCCCUACGCGUAAUGAAAGUGAACGCAGGUGAGAGCUUCGGCGCAUCAUCGACCGAUCCUGAUGUUCUCGGAUGGAUUUGAGUAAGAGCAUACGGGGCCGGACCCGAAAGAAGGUGAACUAUGCCUGUAUAGGGUGAAGCCAGAGGAAACUCUGGUGGAGGCUCGCAGCGGUUCUGACGUGCAAAUCGAUCGUCAAAUAUGGGCAUGGGGGCGAAAGACUAAUCGAACCUUCUAGUAGCUGGUUCGC